GGUACAACUGAAAUGUUUGUUUCCAAAUGGUUUGCUUUUGAACGGAUGAAAUUUCUGCUCGACAGAGACCAACCAAAUUGCACCCUAGAUACCGAAGCUCGAGAAAUGGACGGUGGAGAAGUUACUGACCUAAAUGAGUCUUUAACCGAAGAAAAAAUGUAAGUUAGUCUGAUAAUAAUGUGACACAACCCAAUGAUCUGAAUGCUGAAGAGGCAGUUGACUCACCAAACGGUACUGCAAAAAAACCUGUACAUGAAAAAACUUCAAGUCAAAUAGUAAAAGAGCCUCAGACUUUUCCAAAAAAACGUAAGGUAAACGAAGAUCCAAAAGUAGCAGAAGCUUAUUAACUUAUAAAGUAGGUACAAGCCCGCUGUUCUAAACAAGAGAAAGCUCAAGAUCGGUUUGACAUUUAUGGGCAACACAUCGCGCCAAAAUUAAGAACCUAUUCUAAACGAGCAGAAAUAAUGGUUGAACAUGCUAUCAACAAUAUACAUUUUGACGCAGAUCUAGGAAACUAUGACGGGCCGUCUUUUGGAAGCUCUAUUCAGCAACAUAGGCUAGUUAGUCCGCCUCAUCCCAGCCCUGCCACAAGUCAGUAUACCUCUUAUUCCGACCCUCUAACAAAUGUAUCAGCAACUGAGAGUAUAAGUCAACCUUCAAAUAAUAUGGAUACAUCUGGAUACAACAUGCCAACUGCACAGAACUUUGUUGCUACUUUUAACCCUAUAGACUAUAUAGAAUACCCAACAAAUACUUCUGAAUAAGUUUUUCCAGGUUUCAUUUAUAAUUUUUUUUUAUGUAAAUAUAGCAUUUCCUUUUGUAACUUAUUAUUUAUAAGAAUAAAUAUUUGGUUUCCUC
Molecule: long non-coding RNA, 858 nt
Organism: Anthonomus grandis grandis
Lineage: Eukaryota; Metazoa; Arthropoda; Insecta; Coleoptera; Curculionidae
Exons: 2
Source: RefSeq, a predicted model, not a curated record